This is a long non-coding RNA of Belonocnema kinseyi, 1652 nucleotides long. RefSeq lists it as uncharacterized. The record is from RefSeq and is a predicted model, not a curated record. Lineage: Eukaryota; Metazoa; Arthropoda; Insecta; Hymenoptera; Cynipidae. The transcript has 4 exons.
AACUUACAAGCCGUGCGCGAGGUUAACAAACGAUUGUGCAAACUAUGCAAGAUAUUACAACAGCGCAAGAGUUAUUUUUUUUUUAAUUUUCUAGAUGUGCAAACUUUUAUCUGAUUAUUUUUUGUAUCUUUCAUUAUUUCCAAGAAAAAUUCGUAAAUUAAUAUUUUUCAAAUAAUUUCUUUCAAUGUGAAGCAGUGACUUAACAAUAAUGAAACUCAGGACAUAUGUGGUGCAUGCUAAUAUUGCAUUUAAAAAAUUUGUUUGGAUCAGUUGAAAAAAAAAAUAAUUCCGAUUUCAAGCGAAAAAAAGAAAAUCUGGAACACCUGUGAUCGUUCAGAAAAUACUGCAUGAUGAAAAAAGUCCUCUUCAUUUUCCAGAAGUCGCAGGAGAGUCGGCAAGUGAGGGCCUAUGUUUGAGUCCAAGUACAAGCAAUGUAUAUUCACUCGACAAUGAAAAUGAAUACUUCAAAUGUUUACCAGAGAUUGUUUCCUUCUGUACUGAUAAACCCUUCCUUGCUCCUUUUAAGUGGGCAAAGAUUGUUCCCACUGGAUUUCAAAACAACCCCACAAAUACGAGCAUGAAACAUCUGGAACUGCUACGGAAUUGAGGAGACCACUUGUUUUCUGUUAAAUGUACAGGUUUUGGUGAUGCCUUCAAGAUGGCCAUUGAAACAGUUCUAAAAUUUCCGGAGGCCUUUAAGCAUAUGACAUGGAAGGGAAACGAAGAUGGUUCGGUUUACUCUAAUGUAUUGAAUUCAUUUAGAUUUCGUAUUUAUGAACGGCUGAGGUAUCUAAAAUAGCAGGAGAAUAAAAACACAAAAGUAUCACGACUGAUAUCGAAGAAGAAAACCCAAAAAGCACACUUAUGGUUACAAGGUACGCAAAGGGUCAGGACGUCUGUAGAUGCAAUAAUUAAAGCAGAGUUUUCUUGAUACCUAUGCGAUAUAAUUUUAGGUGGGAAUACUUGACGCAUUCUGCCCCAUAUACCACGUUUGAAAACAUACUGGACAAAAUCAUUAAUUUUUUCAUUGUCUAUAACCAUCUUAGAAACGGGGUACAAAGUUUCCGCAUCGUCCAAAAAUUCUCCAAAGAUGAUCAAUAGAAUAAGCAUAAAAGAUCAAAAAUUACUUGACAAGCUAUUGCACUUAAUCAUUUUUCUCAGAACAAUGAGACAUUCUCUGCAUCUGCUCAUUGUUGCCGGAUUAAGCUCAAAGCGGCCAGAACUCAGAUUUUGACCAUCCACGGAUAAACAGAUGACCAGUCCCAAAGGGUCAAUAUUUGCACGUCAAUUAUGCGCGUGAAAAUUAAAAGGCUGAGAGCAUUUUCAUAGUGAGUGAAUAAGUUUAAGUUGCUUUCCGAUGUUUCGAACAGGCGAGGAAUUUUCAGCUUCAAAUUUGAUAGUUCCAAGAGAUUAAGAAAAAAGGCAUCACUCGACAUUUAUCUAUCAACUUCUUGUCAUCUUACCGUGUCUAACUAAAAUCGUGCCUGAGAUUUCACCAUUUAUUGAUGAUAAAGAAAGUAACGAUAUGUGUGAUAUUGAUUUCUGAAUUUACUCCUGUGUUUGAAAUCUUACAAUUCAGUGCAGUGGCCCCAUAUCCUAAGUUUCUCGAGCUCCAAAAAAUAUAUAGUAAAUGGUCAACUAUGCAUUGCUAU